This is a long non-coding RNA of Gymnodraco acuticeps, 552 nucleotides long. RefSeq lists it as uncharacterized. The transcript has 2 exons. The record is from RefSeq and is a predicted model, not a curated record. Lineage: Eukaryota; Metazoa; Chordata; Actinopteri; Perciformes; Bathydraconidae.
UACCGACAUAUAUGUUAAUUUAGAAAACAUUUCAAAUAUCUUAGGAUUCCUGGUGUAGUUUUCUUAUGUUUUCGACAAAUCUUAAUAUUGUUGGGCUGCCUUGUGAUUGAAAAAAAAAGAAAAUAGGUAACAUUUUGGCAGUCUGUCCUUUUUAUGGUAAUUUGAAAAAAAGUAUACAACACAAAGAAAGGCACUGCAAAAAAAGUUCAGUUUUGUUAUCGAUAUUACAACCGCAAUAUAUUAAUGAAUAUUUCAAUAUGAUAACUUUUACUACAUACGAACAUUAAUAAAAUGUCCUUUUUGUUUUGUGUUUCUCUCAAGCCAUCAAUCACGUAUUAGGGAAAAAGGAAUAUGAAGCGAUGAAAGCGCAGGAAGUGAUGGAACAACGUGCGUUCCAACAAGAGAACGACUUUGCCUGAGUCUAUGAUGGUCCAUUUGAAAAAACAAAUGCUUUCUUCUGCUUUUCUUCAACAUAAAAAUGUAAUCAACCUAUCUGUUUUAAAUUGAUCUAUUUUUCACUUGGAAUAAAUCUGCAUUGCAUUACAAAAGUCA